UACAGGGGUGCAAACGUUGCUCGGAAUCAUUGGGCGUAAAGCGCACGUAGGCGGUUCGUUAUGUCGGAUGUGAAAGCCCUUGGCUUAACCGAGGAAGUGCAUCCGAAACUGGCGAGCUAGAGUACGAAAAGAGGAUCGCGGAAUUCCCGGUGUAGAGGUGAAAUUCGUAGAUAUCGGGGAGGAACACCGGUGGCGAAGGCGGCGAUCUGGGUCGAUACUGACGCUGAGACGCGAAAGCGUGGGGAGCGAACAGG
This 254-nucleotide ribosomal RNA is filed under the name uncultured bacterium. Its description in RNAcentral is "partial 16S ribosomal RNA". It matches the Rfam family "Bacterial small subunit ribosomal RNA", at positions 524 to 776 of the family's 1533-position model. The record is from RNAcentral.